This 487-nucleotide ribosomal RNA is filed under the name Haemophilus sp. oral taxon C82. RNAcentral's name for it is "bacterial SSU rRNA". It matches the Rfam family "Bacterial small subunit ribosomal RNA", at positions 30 to 501 of the family's 1533-position model. The record is from RNAcentral. Lineage: Bacteria; Pseudomonadati; Pseudomonadota; Gammaproteobacteria; Pasteurellales; Pasteurellaceae.
AUUGAACGCUGGCGGCAGGCUUAACACAUGCAAGUCGAACGGUAACAGAAAGAAAGCUUGCUUUCUUUGCUGACGAGUGGCGGACGGGUGAGUAAUGCUUGGGAAUCUAGCUUAUGGAGGGGGAUAACUACGGGAAACUGUAGCUAAUACCGCGUAAUAUCGAGAGAUUAAAGGGUGGGACCGCAAGGCCACCUGCCAUGAGAUGAGCCCAAGUGGGAUUAGGUAGUUGGUGAGGUAAAGGCUCACCAAGCCGACGAUCUCUAGCUGGUCUGAGAGGAUGACCAGCCACACUGGAACUGAGACACGGUCCAGACUCCUACGGGAGGCAGCAGUGGGGAAUAUUGCACAAUGGGGGGAACCCUGAUGCAGCCAUGCCGCGUGAAUGAAGAAGGCCUUUCGGGUUGUAAAGUUUCUUUUCGGUAGCGAGGAAGGCAUUUAGUUUAAUAGACUAGAUGAUUGACGUUAACUACCGAAGAAGCCAGCUAAC